Long non-coding RNA from Cynoglossus semilaevis (tongue sole), 496 nucleotides. RefSeq lists it as uncharacterized. NCBI's taxonomy places the organism in Eukaryota, Metazoa, Chordata, Actinopteri, Pleuronectiformes, Cynoglossidae. The record is from RefSeq and is a predicted model, not a curated record. The transcript has 2 exons.
CAGCCUACCUCCCUGCCCAUAAGUUGAUAUGAUGUUUGGCAUAAAAAUGUCUGAAGAUUAUCCUCAAACACAGUGUAAACUCCGUUAGAGAGUUCCGUUAGGCAAGUGGACAGGAAAUCUUCUCAAAGACGACAUUUUACCUCUCAUCCAAGAGGCUACUUCAGUGACUGGGGAAGUGGAACAACUGUUUAGUCACUGAAGAAGCCUCUUGACCAUGACCUGGAUGACUGAGAAUCUUCAUAGACAUAACUGGGAGAAGUUUUAAUUUGGUCACAUACUGGCUAAGGUUGGAAUUGUUUCAACCAAUUUUUAUUAUAUUUAUUGCAUUGAACGAGAGAGUUUUAAGACGAAGUUAAAAAAUCUACUUUUCAUUUAGGUCUAAACACUUUUGUUGGCCCAUCAGAUAGGUUCCUUCUUGGUGGAAUUCUGGGGGAUGUGUUUUACAUCAGGUCCCAGCCCUGUCUGAGGACUGAAAUGAAGUUACUCAGUAUAUAAA